Molecule: ribosomal RNA, 404 nt
Filed under: Rudisullianassa sp. PNG-369
Lineage: Eukaryota; Metazoa; Arthropoda; Malacostraca; Decapoda; Callianassidae
Description: partial small subunit ribosomal RNA
Source: RNAcentral
AUUUUAGCUAUAACUAAUUUUUACCGAAUUACUAAAAGUUAUUAUCUCUAAAUUUAAAGGAUUUGGCGGUAAUUUAGUCCAGUCAGAGGAACCUGUGUAUUAAACGAUAAACCACGCAAAAUCUUACCUAAUUUCAGUUUGUAUACCGUCAUUGUCAGAUAACUUUCAAAAAAAAAGUUAUUGUAAUAAAUUUUAUUUAAUAUAUUAGAUCAAGGUGCAGCUUAUAAUUAGGUUCCUCAUGGGUUACAAUAAAAUUUAUUUAUUUACGUACGUGGAUAUUAAACUAUUCACUUAAGGAGGAUUUGAUAGUAAUUAUAGUUUAAUAAGCUAUAUUGAUAAAGGAUCUAAAUUAUGUACAUAUCGCCCGUCACUUUCAUAUUCAAAUGAAAUAAGUCGUAACAUAG